UAGGGAAUCUUCGGCAAUGGACGGAAGUCUGACCGAGCAACGCCGCGUGAGUGAAGAAGGUUUUCGGAUCGUAAAGCUCUGUUGUAAGAGGAGAACGAGUGUGAGAGUGGAAAGUUCACACUGUGACGGUAUCUUACCAGAAAGGGACGGCUAACUACGUGCCAGCAGCCGCGGUAAUACGUAGGUCCCGAGCGUUGUCCGGAUUUAUUGGGCGUAAAGCGAGCGCAGGCGGUUAGAUAAGUCUGAAGUUAAAGGCUGUGGCUUAACCAUAGUAGGCUUUGGAAACUGUUUAACUUGAGUGCAAGAGGGGAGAGUGGAAUUCCAUGUGUAGCGGUGAAAUGCGUAGAUAUAUGGAGGAACACCGGUGGCGAAAGCGGCUCUCUGGCUUGUAACUGACGCUGAGGCUCGAAAGCGUGGGGAGCAAACAGGAUUAGAUACCCUGGUAGUCCACGCUGUAAACGAUGAGUGCUAGGUGUUAGACCCUUUCCGGGGUUUAGUGCCGUAGCUAACGCAUUAAGCACUCCGCCUGGGGAGUACGACCGCAAGGUU
This 549-nucleotide ribosomal RNA is filed under the name uncultured bacterium. RNAcentral describes it as "bacterial SSU rRNA". It matches the Rfam family "Bacterial small subunit ribosomal RNA", at positions 355 to 895 of the family's 1533-position model. The record is from RNAcentral.